Nicotiana tabacum (common tobacco) is the source of this 2342-nucleotide non-coding RNA. Lineage: Eukaryota; Viridiplantae; Streptophyta; Magnoliopsida; Solanales; Solanaceae. The record is from RefSeq and is a predicted model, not a curated record.
UUCCCCCCAAAAUUUCCACUUUGUUUUGCACUUGCACUCACUUUCCCCAAUUACCAUCAACCCUAGCUAUUCCUAAACGCUCAAUAGACGCGACCAGAAAACCAAAAAAAUUCUGCUUUCAAUUUCUUUCGUGGUGGCUGCUUGAUUAAGGUUUGAAACGGAGUAAUGUUGAAGAAGUGGCACUUACUAUCAGAGGCAAAAAAGAAUAAGAUCAACUACUUGAUGGCUAUGUCGGAGGAGGCAGAAGAAAAGAAAGUGCCAUCACUUCUCGUCUUGAAGUCCUAAAGGAAGAAAGACACGAUUUCUUUGGUGUUGCAUAUAUUGUUAAUAAGGUAUUAUGCUGCGUGAUUUGCGACCAAUAUUGUUUCUCAUUCUGACACACCGUUGAUUUACUUUGUUUUUGAAGUUUAAGUGUACGAAUUUAAUAUUUUAGUCCAUGUUUCUUGCUCUGAUUUUACGAUUUACUAAUAUGUUGCUCAUACUGAAUACAAUGAAAGGAUUAUAAACCUAAUUAAAUAAGCUUAAAGACAUUAUAUUGGAAUAUCUUUUUAGAAUGUCUAAGUUUAUAUUGGAAUAUCUUUUUGAAAUGUUUUUCAAAUUCUUCUAAAAGUACAUGAAUGAGGGCGGGUUUGGGUUUGUUCACAGUAAUCUAAAAAUAUAGCUUUUCCUUGAAUUAAUAAAAGAACGAAAAAAAAGAAUAGUUACUAAUAUUUUUCAGAAUUAAAGAGGAGAAAUUAAUGAGUUCAUGGCUUAUUUUAUCAGGUGCUUGAAUGUGUCUAUCUGAGAAUGAUUUAUCAUUUGGGUUCGUCUUAACUUAACAUUUCCAUUUGAUUUUCAUUGUUUAUAGGUGUUUGGUUCUUUAGUAGUUAAAGGUGAUAGAAUCUGAUUGACCCUUUUGCUACUUUGAAAUCAUUGCACAAUUCUUGAUUUUCCUUCAACAGGUGAUUCUUCCUCCUCUAGGUAUGCUUGCUUUUGGGUUUCUAUAGCUUUUUUACUCAUGUUUUGUGUUAAAGUUGUAACAUUUUAUAUUUAUUUACUUUAUUUCAACAACCAUCACCCAAAUACUUGCCUUCCUUUUUUUAGUUAUCUAAGCUAUAAUUAUGGGUUUAUGUGUUUUGUCCUUGACAGAAAAACAUAAGAAGUAAAAGAUCAUAAGAAAGCAAUGGUAAACUUAUUUUACAUAUCAUCCAAAUUGAUUAGACAAUGUUAAGGAAGACUUUGUUAAAUGUAAAGAUUUAGAACUUUUAAAUAUUUUGUUAUUUCCACUGAAAGUAAAAGGGUAAAGGAAUUGGGCAUUUUAUUUUGGUAGUUGUAACUAGUAGAAUUGAUGCAUCAACUAAAUCCAUCCCUGCACAUGCACUUAUAAUUCUGAGAAUGCUCCUUUUUGGAUUUAUAUUAAUGCACCACUUGGAAGAACAUGGAAGUAUAUUCUUGUAGAUUUUAUUUUGUUAUUUCAAAAAAGUACUGUGAGCAGAAGACAAUGGUGCUUAUUAGCUGUCUUAUGGGUAUUAAUUUUUACAAAAAAGAUAGUGUAGUAAUUUUUCCCCAUUAGAAGUACUGAUGCAUUGUCUAUAUGCGAGUAAGUUUCAUAAAUUAGAUAUUUUUGAAACACAUUAACAUGAUUAAGUCCAACCAGACUACUAAGCUUUUUAUCUUUCCGUGUGUUUCACUUUAAAGUUUGAGAAAUAAAUAUACUUACUUGCAUAAAUUUUCUUUAAUAAAGUUUCCUUUUAUAAUAACUGUAAUUUUUUUAAAGGAUACUUUCAAACGAAGCUUAGAGGAGUUCAUUCAAAGUCCGCCGAUUGAUGAUCAAGGUAGGCUAAUCCAACCAUCCCAAGAGGAGAUCAUGGACAUGUGGAUUAAGGCAGCUGGUGGCGUGCAUAAGAGGAUAGUCUACGGCAUUAGAUCCGAGUUUGAAUAGGAAAGUAGCGAAGAUUAUUGAGUUGUAUCUUCAAGAAAGGGCUACAGGGGAGAAAAGGCAAAGUGGAGGGAGGAAGAAGAUAGGCGAAGAGAGGAAUAGGAAAGGCGAAGGGAGGAAGAAAUAAGGCGAAAGGACGAUGCAUUAAUUAAGACUUGUCACUAGUGAUGUUAAAAGUCUCAAGUCUCAGAUAAAUUCCCUCUUAGCAUCUUGUGCAUUUCCCGUGCCCCGUUCUCUAGCAUCUGAUUAUAACUAAGGAGUAAUUUCUUUUAUUAGUUUGUCUUGGAUGGUACCUGGAUGUUGAACAUUGAAUGUUGGAUUUUUUGAGUUUUUGUUCUACUUUCUGUUUAGUUGGAUAUUGAUUAUGAAAUGGAUGAAUUAGGUGUUUUUUAUGAAAUGGAUGAAUUAGGUGUUUUUUAUGAAA